RNAcentral lists this ribosomal RNA (425 nucleotides) under uncultured bacterium. Its description in RNAcentral is "partial 16S ribosomal RNA". It matches the Rfam family "Bacterial small subunit ribosomal RNA", at positions 354 to 796 of the family's 1533-position model. The record is from RNAcentral.
GUGGGGAAUAUUGGGCAAUGGGCGAAAGCCUGACCCAGCAACGCCGCGUGAAGGAAGAAGGUUUUCGGAUCGUAAACUUCUAUCCUUGGUGAAGAUAAUGACGGUAGCCAAGAAGGAAGCCCCGGCUAACUACGUGCCAGCAGCCGCGGUAAUACGUAGGGGGCAAGCGUUGUCCGGAAUGAUUGGGCGUACAGGGCGCGUAGGCGGCCCGGUAAGUCUGAAGUGAAAGUACUGCUUUUAAGGUGGGAAUUGCUUUGGAUACUGUCGGGCUUGAGUGCAGGAGAGGGAAGCGGCAUUCCCGGUGUAGCGGUGAAAUGCGUAGAGAUCGGGAGGAACACCAGUGGCGAAGGCGGCUUACUGGACUGUAACUGACGCUGAGGCGCGAAAGUGUGGGGAGCAAACAGGAUUAGAAACCCGUGUAGUCC